RNAcentral lists this long non-coding RNA (371 nucleotides) under Heterocephalus glaber (naked mole-rat). Its description in RNAcentral is "lncRNA (ENSHGLG00100041128.1)". The record is from RNAcentral. Lineage: Eukaryota; Metazoa; Chordata; Mammalia; Rodentia; Bathyergidae.
ACCAGAAUGACAGCUGUCCUGCUCAGCACCGGAGACUCAGGAGCUAGCCCAGUGCCAGAUACAGCUAAAAGAAGGAAAGGAAAGAACCAUUCUGAUCUGUUUCCAUGAUCCAUAGUGAACUUCAAGAUCAUUUCAAGUUUUCUCAUCAUCGGAACUUGCCAGAUCACUGCUCUGCCUCACACUGUCCGAUACGUGGACCAAUCAGAGCCACUCUAUGAGUAAUCACUAAUCACUUUUGUUUCUUGCUUUUAGAUAUACUUCAGAUAGAAACAAAGGUUCUCCUCUUCCCAAUGUCGGGAGUUUGUCUUGAGGCUGACUUUGAGUGCCCACUAUCUGGUAUCCCCUUGUCAGUAAAGGUCUUUGAUUCUGCA